This 344-nucleotide long non-coding RNA is filed under the name Ornithorhynchus anatinus (platypus). Its description in RNAcentral is "lncRNA (ENSOANG00000048731.1)". The record is from RNAcentral. Lineage: Eukaryota; Metazoa; Chordata; Mammalia; Monotremata; Ornithorhynchidae.
GCCUUAUCCCAGAGGAUCCAAAAUACCUGGGUGGGGAUUUUGACAUGGUCUUGUUUUAAUCCCUGUAGAUGGCGGCCUCCUGGAUUUCCGGCUGAAGCAAUGAGGUGGUGAGGGACAAAGUGGGCUCGGAGGCUGCGUGCCUUUAGAGAUUUUUCCCCGAGUCAAACCCGGAUGGACUUGCGAGCGAUAAUUAUGAGGCUGACUUGCAUGUUUUCCUUCAUCCUGCUGUUUGGAGUGGCUGGCCUUGUCAUCUUCAUUCACCUGCAGGAUCCGGCUGACAUAAUUCACCAGCAGACACCAGGAGGUGAAAUAAAGAUAAUUUCAGGGGAAAAAAGAAGUUCCAG